This 484-nucleotide ribosomal RNA is filed under the name uncultured bacterium. Its description in RNAcentral is "partial 16S ribosomal RNA". It matches the Rfam family "Bacterial small subunit ribosomal RNA", at positions 30 to 507 of the family's 1533-position model. The record is from RNAcentral.
AUUGAACGCUGGCGGCAGGCCUAACACAUGCAAGUCGAGCGGAUGAAGGGAGCUUGCUCCUGGAUUCAGCGGCGGACGGGUGAGUAAUGCCUAGGAAUCUGCCUGGUAGUGGGGGAUAACGUCCGGAAACGGGCGCUAAUACCGCAUACGUCCUGAGGGAGAAAGUGGGGGAUCUUCGGACCUCACGCCAUCAGAUGAGCCUAGGUCGGAUUAGCUAGUUGGUGGGGUAAAGGCCUACCAAGGCGACGAUCCGUAACUGGUCUGAGAGGAUGAUCAGUCACACUGGAACUGAGACACGGUCCAGACUCCUACGGGAGGCAGCAGUGGGGAAUAUUGGACAAUGGGCGAAAGCCUGAUCCAGCCAUGCCGCGUGUGUGAAGAAGGUCUUCGGAUUGUAAAGCACUUUAAGUUGGGAGGAAGGGCAGUAAGUUAAUACCUUGCUGUUUUGACGUUACCAACAGUAUAAGCACCGGCUAACUUCGUG